RNAcentral lists this ribosomal RNA (346 nucleotides) under uncultured fungus. Its description in RNAcentral is "SSU rRNA". It matches the Rfam family "Eukaryotic small subunit ribosomal RNA", at positions 20 to 370 of the family's 1831-position model. The record is from RNAcentral. Lineage: Eukaryota; Fungi.
GUAGUCAUAUGCUUGUCUCAAAGAUUAAGCCAUGCAUGUCUAAGUAUAAGCACUCAUACUGUGAAACUGCGAAUGGCUCAUUAAAUCAGUUAUCGUUUAUUUGAUAGUACCUUACUACUUGGAUACCCGUGGUAAUUCUAGAGCUAAUACAUGCUAAAAACCCCGACUUCGGAAGGGGUGUGUUUAUUAGAUAAAAAACCAAUGCCCUUCGGGGCUGCUUGGUGAUUCAUGAUAACCAAACGAAUCGCAUGGCCUUGCGCCGGCGAUGGUUCAUUCAAAUUUCUGCCCUAUCAACUUUCGAUGGUAGGAUCUGGGCCUACCAUGGUAUCAACGGGUAACGGGGAAU